AGUGAACGCUGGCGGUAGGCCUAACACAUGCAAGUCGAACGGCAGCACAGUAAGAGCUUGCUCUUACGGGUGGCGAGUGGCGGACGGGUGAGGAAUACAUCGGCAUCUACUUUUUCGUGGGGGAUAACGUAGGGAAACUUACGCUAAUACCGCAUACGACCUACGGGUGAAAGCAGGGGAUCUUCGGACCUUUGCCGUUUCAUGUAGCCGAUGCCGGAUUAGCUAGUUGGCGGGGUAAGGGCCCACCAAGGCGACGAUCCGUAGCUGGUCUGAGAGGAUGAUCAGCCACACUGGAACUGAGACACGGUCCAGACUCCUACGGGAGGCAGCAGUGGGGAAUAUUGGACAAUGGGCGCAAGCCUGAUCCAGCCAUACCGCGUGGGUGAAGAAGGCCUUCGGGUUGUAAAGCCCUUUUGUUGGGAAAGAAAAGCAGCAGGUUAAUACCCCGCUGUUCUGACGGUACCCAAAGAAUAAGCACCGGCUAACUUCGUG
This 492-nucleotide ribosomal RNA is filed under the name uncultured bacterium. RNAcentral describes it as "partial 16S ribosomal RNA". It matches the Rfam family "Bacterial small subunit ribosomal RNA", at positions 29 to 507 of the family's 1533-position model. The record is from RNAcentral.